This 468-nucleotide ribosomal RNA is filed under the name uncultured bacterium. RNAcentral's name for it is "partial 16S ribosomal RNA". It matches the Rfam family "Bacterial small subunit ribosomal RNA", at positions 28 to 507 of the family's 1533-position model. The record is from RNAcentral.
GACGAACGCUGGCGGCGUGCUUAACACAUGCAAGUCGAACGGAAAGGCCCUGCUUUUGUGGGGUGCUCGAGUGGCGAACGGGUGAGUAACACGUGAGUAACCUGCCCUUGACUUUGGGAUAACUUCAGGAAACUGGGGCUAAUACCGGAUAGGAGCUCCUGCUCCAUGGUGGGGUUUGGAAAGUUUCGGCGGUUGGGGAUGGACUCGCGGCUUAUCAGCUUGUUGGUUGGGUAGUGGCUUACCAAGGCUUUGACGGGUCGCCGGCCUGAGAGGGUGACCGGCCACAUUGGGACUGAGAUACGGCCCAGACUCCUACGGGAGGCAGCAGUGGGGAAUAUUGCACAAUGGGCGGAAGCCUGAUGAAGCAACGCCGCGUGCGGGAUGACGGCCUUCGGGUUGUAAACCGCUUUCGCCUGUGACGAAGCGUGAGUGACGGUAAUGGGUAAAGAAGCACCGGCUAACUACGUG